AUUGAACGCUGGCGGCAUGCCUUACACAUGCAAGUCGAACGGUAACAGGUCUUCGGAUGCUGACGAGUGGCGAACGGGUGAGUAAUACAUCGGAACGUGCCCGUUCUUGGGGGAUAACGGAGCGAAAGCUUUGCUAAUACCUCAUACGAUCUACGGAUGAAAGCAGGGGACCGCAAGGCCUUGCGCGGACGGAGCGGCCGAUGGCAGAUUAGGUAGUUGGUGGGAUAAAAGCUUACCAAGCCGACGAUCUGUAGCUGGUCUGAGAGGACGACCAGCCACACUGGGACUGAGACACGGCCCAGACUCCUACGGGAGGCAGCAGUGGGGAAUUUUGGACAAUGGGCGAAAGCCUGAUCCAGCAAUGCCGCGUGCAGGAUGAAGGCCUUCGGGUUGUAAAGUGCUUUUGUACGGAACGAAAAGACUCGUUCUAAUAAAGAGGGUCCAUGACGGUACCGGAAGAAUAAGCACCGGCUAACUACGUG
This 482-nucleotide ribosomal RNA is filed under the name uncultured bacterium. Its description in RNAcentral is "partial 16S ribosomal RNA". It matches the Rfam family "Bacterial small subunit ribosomal RNA", at positions 30 to 507 of the family's 1533-position model. The record is from RNAcentral.